GCGGACUCAUCAUUCCAGCCAAUCAGCAGCAGACCCUCCCUCCCAGACCCUCCCACCUCCUGGACAGCAUCCAUUUUGAAGCUGCAUUUUUAGUGAGCUGUCUAGGAGAUGGGAGGGUCUAGGAGGGAGGGUCUGCUGCUGAUUGGCUGGAAUGAUGAGUCCG
Molecule: non-coding RNA, 163 nt
Organism: Pelobates cultripes (western spadefoot toad)
Lineage: Eukaryota; Metazoa; Chordata; Amphibia; Anura; Pelobatidae
Source: the annotation of a GenBank genome assembly